GCUGGGUGUUAGGAUGGCAGCUUGCACAGUAUAGUGGACACAUGGUUUAGUCUGGAUACCAGUGCCAAAGCCAGAACGACACCCAUCAGCACUGGGAGAAGUGGAAAAUGCAACAGCCAUUGGACAGUGAGGGAAUUGGACAUUCCCUCCACCCGCACCCAGCCUUGAUCUGAACUGUAGUUGUCUGUGUGGCUCUUACAGAUGCAUGGAGUCAUCCCUAGGUUUGCUGCGUGCCAAACAGCCAUGGUAACAAAACCCAGCUCUCAUCCCAGGAGGGCUGGAGCUGAGGUCUGACACAGUCCAGGGCUGAUGGUGUAGCUCACCAGCAGGUUGGAGAAGAUGGGUAUCAGCUGGUGUGGGUCCCCACCCAGUGAGGUGGAUGACACUGGGAUAAACCUGAUCCAGACCUCUGACUCUGAACAAGAUGUUCUGACUGGAGCUUGUCCUACCAGAUGUUAAAAAAACAGCAACUACAUUUCUAUGUAAGUCAGGCAGGUGUUUUCACUCCCUCUCUGUUUGGAUGGAUCCUGGAAUUACACUGGAUCAUUGUUUCUGGUGAGGAGUGCUUGGGAAGAGUGGAAUGAAAGCUGGCUGAUCCUGGAAGUUGGUUGCUGCCUGUGACUUCUCUUGUUAGCAAGGAAAGCCUCCCUGCAAGCCUUCGUGCUAGCAGUGACAGCAUUGCAGCCCCUCGAGAGCUUCAGAGGGCUCUGGGACCCUGUGGAGCAAGCGGAUCUUGAGCUGUACAUUUCUCUAGUGGGUUCCUCUCUAAUUUCCCUUUAACACAAAAUUUGCAGAGCUGGAAAGUAAACCAUCAUGUUUAUCCAACUCAGCUGAAAGUAAUGAAUAGCAUUUAUACAGCACUGUGGAUGUUCAGGUUCUGCUCAGACAUUAGAGACCUACCCAGAAAAUCUACUUAAAUAAGUCAGUGGGUUCCAGGAAAGAAGUAAAUUCUCUGCUGCUCUCUGCCGAAAACCUUAGUGGCUGCUGCAUCACCUGGAGAGAUUAAAUGCCUGCAAAGAGCUGAGAGAAGCUUGAUCCAGGCUCUCUGCAGCCCCAGCAUAAAUCUACUUACAGAACGCCUGUGGUCCACGGCAGCCCACCCCUUCCACUGCCAUGCAUUUAUCUUGUCUUAUCAGCAAAGAGAUAUGGAACCAGCAUCAUCUAAAGGCCCCAGCAAGGACAUUGUCCCCUCUUGCUAAGCCCUGGAGAGAUGCAGCACCCACUCCAAAGAGAUUACACCCUGAAUAGACAUCAUGC
Molecule: long non-coding RNA, 1257 nt
Organism: Oxyura jamaicensis (ruddy duck)
Lineage: Eukaryota; Metazoa; Chordata; Aves; Anseriformes; Anatidae
Exons: 3
Source: RefSeq, a predicted model, not a curated record